Molecule: ribosomal RNA, 266 nt
Filed under: uncultured bacterium
Lineage: Bacteria
Description: partial 16S ribosomal RNA
Rfam family: Bacterial small subunit ribosomal RNA
Source: RNAcentral
CGGACCGGCGCGACGGGUGAGUAACGCGUAUGCAACUUACCUAUCAGGAGGGGGAUAACCCGGCGAAAGUCGGACUAAUACCGCAUGAAGCAGGGGCCCCGCAUGGGGAUAUUUGCUAAAGAUUCAUCGCUGAUAGAUAGGCAUGCGUUCCAUUAGGCAGUUGGCGGGGUAACGGCCCACCAAACCGACGAUGGAUAGGGGUUCUGAGAGGAAGGUCCCCCACAUUGGUACUGAGACACGGACCAAACUCCUACGGGAGGCAGCAG